AUUGAACGCUGGCGGCAUGCCUUACACGAUGCAAGUCGAACGGCAGCACGGGAGCAAUCCUGGUGGCGAGUGGCGAACGGGUGAGUAAUAUAUCGGAACGUGCCCAGUCGUGGGGGAUAACGUAGCGAAAGCUACGCUAAUACCGCAUACGAUCUAUGGAUGAAAGCGGGGGAUCGCAAGACCUCGCGCGAUUGGAGCGGCCGAUAUCAGAUUAGGUAGUUGGUGAGGUAAAGGCUCACCAAGCCGACGAUCUGUAGCUGGUCUGAGAGGACGACCAGCCACACUGGGACUGAGACACGGCCCCAGACUCCUACGGGAGGCAGCAGUGGGGAAUUUUGGACAAUGGGCGCAAGCCUGAUCCAGCAAUGCCGCGUGCAGGAUGAAGGCCUUCGGGUUGUAAACUGCUUUUGUACGGAACGAAACGGUGAGCUCUAAUACAGUUUGCUAAUGACGGUACCGUAAGAAUAAGCACCGGCUAACUACGUG
RNAcentral lists this ribosomal RNA (486 nucleotides) under uncultured bacterium. RNAcentral's name for it is "bacterial SSU rRNA". It matches the Rfam family "Bacterial small subunit ribosomal RNA", at positions 30 to 507 of the family's 1533-position model. The record is from RNAcentral.